This 245-nucleotide ribosomal RNA is filed under the name uncultured bacterium. Its description in RNAcentral is "partial 16S ribosomal RNA". It matches the Rfam family "Bacterial small subunit ribosomal RNA", at positions 524 to 768 of the family's 1533-position model. The record is from RNAcentral.
UACAGAGGGUGCAAGCGUUAUUCGGAAUCACUGGGCGUAAAGCGCAUGUAGGUGGAUAUAAAAGUCAGUUGUGAAAUCCCGGGGCUCAACUUCGGAAUGGCAAUUGAAACUGUAUAUCUUGAGAUUGGAAGAGGGAGAUAGAAUUCCAGGUGUAGAGGUGAAAUUCGUAGAUAUCUGGAGGAAUACCGGAGGCGAAGGCGGUUUCCUGGUCCAAGACUGACACUGAGAUGCGAGAGCGUGGGGAG